GCGUCCGUAGCUCAAUUGGAUAGAGCAUCAGACUUCGGAUCUGAGGGUUAGGGGUUCGACUCCCUUCGGGCGUGCCA
This 77-nucleotide transfer RNA is filed under the name Helicobacter jaachi. RNAcentral's name for it is "tRNA-Arg". It matches the Rfam family "tRNA". Rfam says of the family: Transfer RNA (tRNA) molecules are approximately 80 nucleotides in length. Lineage: Bacteria; Pseudomonadati; Campylobacterota; Epsilonproteobacteria; Campylobacterales; Helicobacteraceae. The record is from RNAcentral.